GCAAAACGCGAAGAACCUUACCAAGGCUUGACAUGCACGGGAAGCCACCAGAGAUGGUGGUCUCUUUGGACACUCGUGCACAGGUGGUGCAUGGUUGUCGUCAGCUCGUGUCGUGAGAUGUUGGGUUAAGUCCCGCAACGAGCGCAACCCUCGCCCCAUGUUGCCAGCGGGUUAUGCCGGGGACUCAUGGGAGACUGCCGGGGUCAACUCGGAGGAAGGUGGGGAUGACGUCAAAUCAUCAUGCCCCUUAUGUCUUGGGCUUCACGCAUGCUACAAUGGCCGGUACAAAGGGCUGCGAUACCGUAAGGUGGAGCGAAUCCCAAAAAGCCGGUCUCAGUUCGGAUUGGGGUCUGCAACUCGACCCCAUGAAGUCGGAGUCGCUAGUAAUCGCAGAUCAGCAACGCUGCGGUGAAUACGUUCCCGGGUCUUGUACACACCG
RNAcentral lists this ribosomal RNA (439 nucleotides) under uncultured bacterium. Its description in RNAcentral is "bacterial SSU rRNA". It matches the Rfam family "Bacterial small subunit ribosomal RNA", at positions 954 to 1392 of the family's 1533-position model. The record is from RNAcentral.